CCUACGGGAGGCAGCAGUGAGGAAUAUUGGACAAUGGGCGCAAGCCUGAUCCAGCCAUGCCGCGUGCAGGAAGACGGUCCUAUGGAUUGUAAACUGCUUUUAUACAGGAAGAAACACCUCUACGUGUAGAGACUUGACGGUACUGUAUGAAUAAGCAUCGGCUAACUCCGUGCCAGCAGCCGCGGUAAUACGGAGGAUGCAAGCGUUAUCCGGAAUCAUUGGGUUUAAAGGGUCCGUAGGCGGUUUAAUAAGUCAGUGGUGAAAGCCCAUCGCUCAACGAUGGAACGGCCAUUGAUACUGUUAAACUUGAAUUAUUAGGAAGUAACUAGAAUAUGUAGUGUAGCGGUGAAAUGCUUAGAGAUUACAUGGAAUACCAAUUGCGAAGGCAGGUUACUACUAAUAUAUUGACGCUGAUGGACGAAAGCGUGGGGAGCGAACAGGAUUAGAUACCCUGGUAGUCCACGCCGUAAACGAUGGAUACUAGCUGUUCGGAGCAAUCUGNGUGNGAGAGAAGAGAGUAAGUAUCCGACCGUGGGUAGGUACGUUCGUUACGAAGAAGUUAGUAACGUUACGAAGAGUAGUUAGGAGNGAGAGAGCGACGACGACGACGACGGAGGAGGAGG
RNAcentral lists this ribosomal RNA (623 nucleotides) under uncultured bacterium. Its description in RNAcentral is "partial 16S ribosomal RNA". The stretch from base 1 to 531 matches the Rfam family "Bacterial small subunit ribosomal RNA", at positions 338 to 873 of the family's 1533-position model. The record is from RNAcentral.